UACGUAUGGUGCAAGCGUUAUCCGGAUUUACUGGGUGUAAAGGGAGCGCAGGCGGUGCGGCAAGUCUGAUGUGAAAACCCGGGGCUCAACCCCGGUACUGCAUUGGAAACUGUCGUACUAGAGUGUCGGAGGGGUAAGUGGAAUUCCUAGUGUAGCGGUGAAAUGCGUAGAUAUUAGGAGGAACACCAGUGGCGAAGGCGGCUUACUGGACGAUAACUGACGCUGAGGCUCGAAAGCGUGGGGAGCAAACAGG
RNAcentral lists this ribosomal RNA (253 nucleotides) under Roseburia faecis M72/1. Its description in RNAcentral is "partial 16S ribosomal RNA". It matches the Rfam family "Bacterial small subunit ribosomal RNA", at positions 524 to 776 of the family's 1533-position model. The record is from RNAcentral. Lineage: Bacteria; Bacillati; Bacillota; Clostridia; Lachnospirales; Lachnospiraceae.